GGAGGAGUACAGGGAAUAUUCUCUCUGAGGCUGUAGCACCAUGUCAGUGUAUUCUGUUCUGUACUAUCCAACUUCUUUCCUGAUGUUUCCUCUGCUUGAUUUGAGGCCAUGAACCAUUACUAUUUGGGCUUAGGUCAUCAAAGCUGUCUCCUACUAUUUCUUCUCUUUAUUUCAUGUUGUUUGCUAUAAUCUUGGCUUGAGGUAUGAGUCCCUGAGCUGGUUUCUGUAGUCAACGUGGCACAGGCAGGGAAGAUCCUAACUCUGGGCAUGAAGUCUAAGAUGCUACUCUCUGAUGGCAAACUGCUGGAUUCAUCAAAAUUCUCUUCCACCUAUAGCUAACUUAGGAAGGUUCCUCUCCAAAGAUCAAUCAUGAUCCUGAAAUCAGCUUUGCCAAUCUAGAAGCCAGAAGAGAGAUUUAUGUUGAUCAAGACACUCAGUUCCUUGGCAUUUUCCAGCUGUCUACCAAUUGUCCUUGAAUCAUGUGAGAAGAAAUGUGGACAAAGAACAUAGAUUUCUGGAUUCUCUAGAAAUUUGAAUAAAGGCCUCCUUACCUUUUUUAAUUUAAUGCGA
This 570-nucleotide long non-coding RNA is filed under the name Vulpes vulpes (red fox). RNAcentral's name for it is "lncRNA (ENSVVUG00000006197.1)". Lineage: Eukaryota; Metazoa; Chordata; Mammalia; Carnivora; Canidae. The record is from RNAcentral.